GUAGAUGAGCUCGGCGGUACAGUUAAAGGGCCCUACGUGACAGUAGAUGACAAAGUAUAUUGUGUAGUGCAUUGGUGGGUUGAGUGUAUAUUGUGUAGUGCAGUGUAGGGUUGAGUGUAUAUUGUGUAGUGCAUUGUUGGGUUGAGUGUAUAUUGUGUAGUGCAUUGUUGGGUUGAGUGUAUAUUGUGUAGUGCAUUGUUGGGUUGAGUGUAUAUUGUGUAGUGCAUUGUUGGGUUGAGUGUAUAUUGUGUAGUGCAUUGUUGGGUUGAGUGUAUAUUGUGUAGUGCAUUGGUGGGUUGAGUGUAUAUUGUGUAGUGCAUUGUUGGGUUGAGUGUAUAUUGUGUAGUGCAGUGUAGGGUUGAGUGUAUAUUGUGUAGUGCAGUGUAGGGUUGAGUGUAUAUUGUGUAGUGCAUUGUUGGGUUGAGUGUAUAUUGUGUAGUGCAGUGUUGGGUUGAGUGUAGGGCACGAGACCUCACGAUAUUAAAACGUGACGAUAUUUCUCAUCAAGCUUAAACCUGUCUCGCGGGAAGAAAAAACAGUUUAGUGUGGACUUUUUAAGAGGGAUCUGGCAACACAGUAAUGAUACAGCGAGUCGCUGAGCAGUGAGAGCAGCUCUCAGCAGAUGAGGAAAAUUCGGGCUUUCCAAUGCACACCCAAACCUACUGAGAAGGAUUUAUAAACGCUUUGCGGCGGAGUAAACUCACAGACCAAUCACGUGUGGGGUAAGAUCACAAAACGCUCUCUUCAGUCAAUCAGGGGUGCGUUUCCUGUACAAUGACGGAUCCUAGCAUUGAACUAACGUGGUACAAUCCAUGGUCAAACUAACAUCUGAAGUUCGACCGUUUCCCGAAACCAUCGUACUUUGUUGGUAUGACAGAAGUCUGAAAUAAGUUGUUUUAAACCACCCUGGUCAUAACUGAGGUGUUUCCAGGCGUGUUCGACCAGACUUUCCCAGCAGAAAACGUGCAAAACUCACAAUCUAUUAAAAUAUUAUGCCAAAAUUUUUUUACUAAUUUAUUAUUUAGGCUAUUUAUAUUGUAAUUAUCACCACAACAUGAACCGACAACAAUUCUAUUAAUAAAAUAACAAUGAACUGCAAGUAAAAUCUACACAAUAAUUGCUAUAUAUAAAUGAUUAAUUAACAGUAACAGACAGUGUUCCUUUAAAAAAACAUACACAUAUUUGCUAUUGCAAUUUUUAAAAAAUAAAUAUUAAUACAUCACCAUUCUGAAUAAGUCUUAUUAAUAUGAGACCUGAGAAAUAUGUGUUGCUCAGUGGUUCAGCAGAGCGCCUACGACAGUGCAGCAGGCGGUGUUCUGUCGAAUGGUGCAACCCAUCGAGAUGUGCUUCUUAACACCAGUGCCCAUGCGUGAAACAUUUUUUAUUAUUUUUUUUUUGUAUGGUAAUUCUGUUCUUUUUGGAUGCAUUGAACAACCAGAAACCCCCUUGCCAUUAUUUCUGAGUAUUACAAAUGCGUAAAUGACAGCUGAUAAUAAUGAAAGUAAUAAGUUAGCAUUGAAAAAAAAAUAAGGGUUAUAAUCACCCCUAAUAACUCUAAACUCCUGAUAUUUUGAUUCAGCAUUUCCAAAUAUCCUACCGAAAGCAUGUUUAAAUAUGGGGCUUUUUCUAGCAAUUUUAUAUUUAAAUAUGCACUAGGGUAGUACGGUUUGACAGGGAAGCAAACCUCGACAGAACACCGGAUGGAAGCCUAAUUCGAAACCCAGUCGUGGUUUUAUUCUCUUAAUGUUUUUUUUUUCAUAAUGGCAAUUAAUGUUAUUAUUUUUAAAGUAUCUAUUAAUGUAGCCUACAUAUUUCUACUUAUUUCCUGUGGUAUAUAUUAUUUAACAAAUACUAACUGAUAACAUUUGUUUAGGCCUAGAAACACACUUUGUAAUUAUGGGUAAAAUAUACAUUUUCUUUAUCCACACUCUGUCUGUAUGUUCACAGCACAAGCCUGCUUGAAUAAUUGGCAUACAUCUUUCCAAGACUGUAAAAUACAUUUUAGCUAAAGAGCACUUCAGUGCACUUUUUUACUACACUGAAUUCAUGUUUGCCAAAUAAAGCUAAAUGUUAAAGACAUACAUUAAAAAAUGGCCAAUUAACUUACAUUUUCAAAAUACAUUUUACAUUUAAUACAAGUACUGAAUUUAAAAAAACGGGCGGAAAAACAAGAACAGGCGGAAACUAAAGUCACGCCGGCUCGUAAAUCAGUCUGAUAAAUCAUAAUCAUAAUCAUAAAUGAGUUUGCGAUAUAUGAUUUUGUCAAAUAAAACUGUAGUUUUCAAGACAUUUUUCAUUUUUGACAUUUUUUUUUUAAUUUUAUUUUUAAAUCUUGUCUCGUUCUCGUGAAACCAGUAUCGUGUCUCGUCUUAUCUUGUGAUAUUAGUGUCUCGUCACACCCCUAGUUGAGUGUAUAUUGUGUAGUGCAUUGUUGGGUUGAGUAUAUACUAUAUGGUGCAGUGUUAGGUUGAGUUUAUAUUGUGUGUUGCAUUGUUGGGUUGAGUAUAUACUAUAUGGUGCAGUGUUGGGUUGAGUGUAUAUUGUGUGUUGCAGUUUUGGGUUGAGUAUAUACUAUAUGGUGCAGUGUUGGGUUGAGUGUAUAUUGUGUGUUGCAGUGUUGGGUUGAGUAUAUACUAUAUGGUGCAGUGUUGGGUUGAGUUUAUAUUGUGUGUUGCAGUGUUGGUUUGAGUUUAUAUUGUGUAUUGCAGUGUUGGGUUAAGUGUAUACUAUAUGGUGCAGUGUUGGGUUGAGUUUAUAUUGUGUGUUGCAGUGUUGGUUGGUGUGCAGUGAUAAAUAAACUAAAAAACUAAAAAUAAACUAAAAAUAUAGCCGCAAGCGGCAAUCAGCGGGUUCAAGCACCAACUGGCACAAUGGUGCCUAAUAGAGCAUAGAAUGGUGAUGUGUAAGAAGAUCUAAUAUGAUUGGAGAUGCCCUGUCACAUUUAGAAAUUAUCAAAAGUUUUUCACCUGUUAUUAAUGUUGAGCAGAGGCCUUCCAAUAUGUUCAGUUCUUUAAUUCACAUUCAAAUCUAUUGAAGUUUGUAGAAUAUUCAAGUGAGUUAGAACUAGUCAAAAGGUGUCUACAUGUUAUUGGUAUUGAUCAGGUUGCUUCAACCAGAAUGUUCACAAAGUGGUGUUCAGAUUGACCUUUUAACCUUUGCAAAACAAGCUGAAAUGUUUGACCAAACAAGUUUAAAUUAACACAAAGGAGUGCAUUGUCUGACAUGACAUGUAAUCACAAAGUUAUUCUAAAUCUAGUUCUGAAUUAAAUGGCGCUUCAUCAGAGUGAUAUUGUACAGAGGUCUUUAACAUUGUGAGAUUACAGCAAAUACUGCAGAGUUACAGCAGUUUAGGUUGGAAAUUCCAAGGAUGCACAGAUUGCUUGAUGCCUGCACACUAUUGUAAGUGAAAUUUUUACAAAUGUUUUUAAUGAAUCUUUACCUAGAGACUCUACAGUGUGCAACAAAUAUCCAGAGACUAGUUUCAAUAUAGCUAUUUUUCUGUGUGUUGCAGUGUAUACUAUAUGGUGCAGUGUUGGGUUGAGUGUAUAUUGUGUUUUACAGUGUUGGGUUGAGUGUAUAUUGUGUGUUGCAGUGUUGGAUUGAGUGUAUACCAUAUGGUGCAGUGUUGGGUUGAGUGUAUAUUGUGUGUUGCAGUGUUGGGUUGAGUGUAUAUUGUGUGUUGCAGUGCUGGGUUGAGUGUAUUGUGGUAGGCCCCUGGGGUUAGGGGCGUGACCACUGUGACCCGGAAGGAGGAAGCUCACAGAGAUACACAGACACGGGGAGUAAAUGAACUCAAAACAUACCUUUAUUCGGCUUGAAAAUGCCCUCCACCACACCCAGAAUAACUUAAAUAAACAUAACUCUGCCCAAUGGGGCUCUAGAGUCUGUCUAAUUACUUAGUUUUUUUCUAUUAAAGGUCCGUGCAGCCUCAGCCCUCAGCUCCCCAGUCAAAGUCCUCCCUUCAGUGAGCUGAGGCUGAGAUCUUAUACCUGUCCCAGCUGGCUGCUUAAUCAGUCCGGAUGCGGGCCAGCUGGGACACAUAGAGCUGUGCGCUCUGGCGUGGGCGGACCCCCAACUCCCCCAACUGUUUUUGUGAGGUAGGUUGGAUGUUUUUGUGAGGUUGGUUGGAUGUUUUUGUGAGGUAGGCGGGAUGUUUUUGUGAGGUUGGUUGAAUGUUUUUGUGAGGUAGGUUGGAUGUUUUUGUGAGGUAGGUUGGAUGUUUUUGUGAGGUAGGUUGGAUGUUUUUGUGAGGUUGGUUGGAUGUUUUUGUGAGGUUGGUUGGAUGUUUUUGUGAGGUUGGUUGGAUGUUUUUGUGAGGUUGGUUGGAUGUUUUUGUGAGGUAGAUUGGAUGUUUUUGUGAGGUAGGCUAUAUGUUUUUGUGAGGUUGGGUGGAUGUUUUUGUGAGGUUAGUUGGAUGUUUUUGUGAGGUAAGCCGGAUGUUUUUGUGAAGUAGGUUGGAUGUUUUUGUGAGGUAGGUUGGAUGUUUUUGUGAGGUUGGUUGGAUGUUUUUGUGAGGUUGGUUGGAUGUUUUUGUGAGGUUGGUUGGAUGUUUUUGUAAGGUAGGCAGGAUGUUUUUGUGAGGUUGGUUGGAUGUUUUUGUGAGGUUGGUUGGAUGUUUUUGUGAGGUAGGUGGGAUGUUUUUGUGAGGUUGGUUGGAUGUUUUUGUGAGGUAGGCUAUAUGUUUUUGUGAGGUUGGUUGGAUGUUUUUGUGAAGUAGGUUGGAUGUUUUUGUGAGGUAGGUUGGAUGUUUUUGUGAGGUAGGCUAUAUGUUUUCGUGAGGUUGGUUGGAUGUUUUUGUGUGGUUAGUUGGAUAUUUUUGUGAGGUAGGUUGGAUGUUUUUGUGAGGUUGGUUGGAUGUUUUUGUAAGGUAGGCGGGAUGUUUUUGUGAGGUAGGCGGGAUGUUUUUGUGAGGUUGGUUGGAUGUUUUUGUGAGGUUGGUUGGAUGUUUUUAUGAGGUUGGUUGGAUGUUUUUGUGAGGUAGGCGGGAUGUUUUUGUGAGGUUGGUUGGAUGUUUUUGUGAGGUAGGCUAUAUGUUUUUGUGAGGUUGGUUGGAUGUUUUUGUGAGGUAGGUUGGAUGUUUUUGUGAAGUAGGUUGGAUGUUUUUGUGAGGUAGGCUAUAUGUUUUUGUGAGGUUGGUUGGAUGUUUUUGUGAGGUAGGUUGGAUGUUUUUGUGAGGUUGGUUGGAUGUUUUUGUGAGGUAGGUUGGAUGUUUUUGUGAGGUAGGUUGGAUGUUUUUGUGAGGUAGGUUAGAUGUUUUUGUGAGGUUGGUUGGAUGUUUUUGUGAGAUUGGUUGGAUGUUUUUGUGAGGUAGGGUGGAUGUUUUUGUGAGGUUGGUUGGAUGUUUUUCUGAGGUAGGCGGGAUGUUUUUGUGAGGUAGGUUGGAUGUUUUUGUGAGGUAGGUUGGAUGUUUUUGUGAGGUUGGUUGGAUGUUUUUGUGAGGCUGGUUGGAUGUUUUUGUGAGGUAGGCUAUAUGUUUUUGUGAGGUUGGUUGGAUGUUUUUGUGAGGUAGGUUGGAUGUUUUUGUGAGGUAGGUUGGAUGUUUUUGUGAGGUAGGCUAUAUGUUUUUGUGAGGUUGGUUGGAUGUUUUUGUGUGGUUAGUUGAAUAUUUUUGUGAGGUAGGUUGGAUGUUUUUGUGAGGUUGGUUGGAUGUUUUUGUGAGGUUGGUUGGAUGUUUUUGUGAGGUAGGUUGGAUGUUUUUGUGAGGUUGGUUGGAUGUUUUUGUGAGGUAGGCGGGAUGUUUUUGUGAGGUUGGUUGGAUGUUUUUGUGAGGUUGGUUGGAUGUUUUUGUGAGGUUGGUUGGAUGUUUUUGUGAGGUAGGCUAUAUGUUUUUGUGAGGUUGGUUGGAUGUUUUUGUGAGGUAGGUUGGAUGUUUUUGUGAGGUUGGUUGGAUGUUUUUGUGAGGUUGGUUGGAUGUUUUUGUGAGAUUGGUUGAAUGUUUUUGUGAGGUAGGUUGGAUGUUUUUGGGAGGUUGGUUGGAUGUUUUUGUAAGGUAGGCGGGAUGUUUUUGUGAGGUUGGUUGGAUGUUUUUGUGAGGUUGGUUGGAUGUUUUUGUUUGGUAGGUUGGAUGUUUUUGUGAGGUAGGUUUGAUGUUUUUGUGAGGUAGGUUAUAUGUUUUUGUGAGGUUGGUUGGAUGUUUUGGUGAGGUUGGUUGGAUGUUUUUGUGAGGUUGGUUGGAUGUUUUUGUGAGGUAGGUUGGAUGUUUUUGUGAGGUAGGUUGGAUGUUUUUGUGAAGUUGGUUGAAUGUUUUUGGGAGGUAGGCUGUAUGUUUUUGUGAGGUUGGUUGGAUGUUUUUGUGAGGUAGAUUGGAUGUUUUUGUGAGGUUGGUUGGAUGUUUUUGUGAGGUAGGCGGAAUGUUUUUGUGAGGUUGGUUGGAUGUUUUUGUGAGGUAGGUUGGAUGUUUUUGUGAGGUUGGUUGAAUGUUUUUGUGAGGUAGGCUGUAUGUUUUUGUGAGGUUAGUUGGAUGUUUUUGUGAGGUAGAUUGGAUGUUUUUGUGAGGUUGGUUGGAUGUUUUUGUGAGGUAGGCGGGAUGUUUUUGUGAGGUUGGUUGGAUGUUUUGGUGAGGCUGGUUGGAUGUUUUUGUGAGGUAGGCUAUAUGUUUUUGUGAGGUUGGUUGGAUGUUUUGGUGAGGUUGGUUGGAUGUUUUUGUGAGGUUGGUUGGAUGUUUUUGUGAGGUAGGUUGGAUGUUUUUGUGAGGUAGGUUGGAUGCUUUUGUGAAGUUGGUUGAAUGUUUUUGUGAGGUAGGCUGUAUGUUUUUGUGAGGUUGGUUGGAUGUUUUUGUGAGGUAAAUUGGAUGUUUUUGUGAGGUUGGUUGGAUGUUUUUGUGAGGUAGGCGGGAUGUUUUUGUGAGGUUGGUUGGAUGUUUUUGUGAGGUAGGUUGGAUGUUUUUGUGAGGUUGGUUGAAUGUUUUUGUGAGGUAGGCUGUAUGUUUUUGUGAGGUUAGUUGGAUGUUUUUGUGAGGUAGAUUGGAUGUUUUUGUGAGGUAGAUUGGAUGUUUUUGUGAGGUUGGUUGGAUGUUUUUGUGAGGUAGGCGGGAUGUUUUUGUGAGGUUGGUUGGAUGUUUUUGUGAGGUAGGCUAUAUGUUUUUGUGAGGUUGGUUGGAUGUUUUUGUGAGGUAGGUUGGAUGUUUUUGUGAGGUAGGUUGGAUGUUUUUGUGAGGUAGGUUGGAUGUUUUUGUGAGGUUGGUUGGAUGUUUUUGUGAGGUUGGUUGGAUGUUUUUGUGAGGUAGGCUAUAUGUUUUUGUGAGGUUGGUUGGAUGUUUUGGUGAGGUUGGUUGGAUGUUUUUGUGAGGUUGGUUGGAUGUUUUUGUGAGGUAGGUUGGAUGUUUUUGUGAGGUAGGUUGGAUGUUUUUGUGAAGUUGGUUGAAUGUUUUUGGGAGGUAGGCUGUAUGUUUUUGUGAGGUUGGUUGGAUGUUUUUGUGAGGUAGAUUGGAUGUUUUUGUGAGGUUGGUUGGAUGUUUUUGUGAGGUAGGCGGAAUGUUUUUGUGAGGUUGGUUGGAUGUUUUUGUGAGGUAGGUUGGAUGUUUUUGUGAGGUUGGUUGAAUGUUUUUGUGAGGUAGGCUGUAUGUUUUUGUGAGGUUAGUUGGAUGUUUUUGUGAGGUAGAUUGGAUGUUUUUGUGAGGUUGGUUGGAUGUUUUUGUGAGGUAGGCGGGAUGUUUUUGUGAGGUUGGUUGGAUGUUUUGGUGAGGCUGGUUGGAUGUUUUUGUGAGGUAGGCUAUAUGUUUUUGUGAGGUUGGUUGGAUGUUUUGGUGAGGUUGGUUGGAUGUUUUUGUGAGGUUGGUUGGAUGUUUUUGUGAGGUAGGUUGGAUGUUUUUGUGAGGUAGGUUGGAUGCUUUUGUGAAGUUGGUUGAAUGUUUUUGUGAGGUAGGCUGUAUGUUUUUGUGAGGUUGGUUGGAUGUUUUUGUGAGGUAGGCGGGAUGUUUUUGUGAGGUUGGUUGGAUGUUUUUGUGAGGUAGGUUGGAUGUUUUUGUGAGGUUGGUUGAAUGUUUUUGUGAGGUAGGCUGUAUGUUUUUGUGAGGUUAGUUGGAUGUUUUUGUGAGGUAGAUUGGAUGUUUUUGUGAGGUAGAUUGGAUGUUUUUGUGAGGUUGGUUGGAUGUUUUUGUGAGGUAGGCUAUAUGUUUUUGUGAGGUUGGUUGGAUGUUUUUGUGAGGUAGGUUGGAUGUUUUUGUGAGGUAGGUUGGAUGUUUUUGUGAGGUAGGCUAUAUGUUUUUGUGAGGUUGGUUGGAUGUUUUUGUGUGGUUAGUUGGAUAUUUUUGUGAGGUAGGUUGGAUGUUUUUGUGAGUUAGGUUGGAUGCUUUUGAGGUUGGUUGGAUGUUUGUACCCCCUCGACUCCGGCCUUAGAGCCCUCACAGCGGGGCGAAUGGGUAACGUUUCGGCGGCAUAGUCGAAAGGCUAAGGCUAAUGCUACCGCAAAGGCCACAGCCAGCCCACCUGAACACCACGCUCCCCCAGUUCACGUGUCAAACAGGUUUGCCCCGCUCAGUGAAGCACCAACUGAGGAGCCUGUUAAAGGUACUCUGGUGAUAGGAGACUCUAUCGUCCGACACGUGAAAUUAGCUACUCCUUUAGGGGCACCAGCGGCAACAGUUACUUGUUUACCGGGAGCCAGAGCACCGGACAUUAGUGGCAACCUUAGGCUGGUAGGGAAUAGGAGAUAUUCGAGGAUAGUAAUUCAUGUAGGGGCCAAUGAUAUUCGUCUGCGGCAGUCUGAAGUAACUAAGGCUAAUAUUAAAGAGGUGAUUAAACAAGCCCAGACGCUGUCCGAGGAGGUAAUCUGCUCUGGCCCCAUCCCAAUGAGGCGUGGUGAUGAAGCUUACAGCAGGCUUUCUUCGCUGAACCGCUGGAUGUCCAAGUGGUGUGCAGAAAAUCAUGUGGGCUUUAUAGAUAACUGGCUACACUUUGAGGGCAAGCCUGGUCUUUUAGGUAGGGAUGGUGUCCACCCCACGCGGGAGGGUGCUGCCUUACUUUCAUGCAGCAUAGCUCAUAGUCUUUUAGCUAGUCGGCAGAGUAGUAUUAGAAGCUGCUGACAAUCCAGAGCUGGGACCAGGCCGCAGACAGAGGCUUAACCGACCGUCUGCGAGCUGCAAAGAGACGUUACCUAGAUACCAAUGUAUUCAGACUGUGUCUGUCCCCCGAGUCAAACAAAAACAUCAAAAAACUAAAACAGUAAAUCUAAAUAACUUAACUUAUAUUAAACAAUCAUAUCCAGACUGUAGUACUAACAUUUCAAGCAUAAAGAUUGGUUUACUUAAUAUUAGAUCUCUAAAUUCAAAAGCAGUUCUAGUGAAUGAAAUGAUAACUGAUCAGAAAUUCGAUGUUCUGUGUCUGACAGAAACCUGGAUUAGGCCAAAUGAAUAUGUAGCAUUAAAUGAAGCCACCCCUGCAGGCUAUAAUUAUAUACACAAUCCGAGAUUGUCCGGUAGAGGAGGUGGGGUCUGCAUAUUUUUCCAAAGUACCUUAGUUAGCAAUCAGAAACACUAUGAUAAUUUUACUUCUUUUGAGCUUCUUUACACCAGUAUAAUUAAUCCAGUUACAAAAAAGAAUGCAUUUUCUUUAAUUAACAUCUACCGACCACCAGGGCCCUAUUUAGAAUUUUUAAAAGAAUUUAGUGAUUUUGUCACAGACUUAGCAGUAAGUAAUGAUAAAGUGAUUAUAGUUGGAGACUUCAACAUUCAUUUCGAAAAUUGGAUGAUCCAUUAAAAAAGGCAUUCACAUCGAUUUUAGACUCAGUUGGUAUUAUUCAAAAUAUAACAGGACCUACUCAUUACUGUAAUCAUACUCUGGAUUUAGUUUUGACCCUGGGUGUGAGCAUAGAUAACCCGAAUAUUCGUUCUCAAACCUCCGCAAUUUCAGAUCAUUACCUUAUUUCAUUUAAAUUACAUCUCAGUCAUAAUAUACAUACAUCCCCUAGCUACUCUGUAAAACGUUCAAUUACGCCUUUUACAGCCCAACAAUUUACAGAUAAGCUUCCAGACUUAUCAACUCUAAUGUAUUCUCCUAUAGACCCAGUAGAACUAGACAAACUAACCGAAGGUUUAAAAAAUACCUUUCGCUAUACCUUAGAUGUUGUAGCACCCCUUAAACACAAAAUAGAGAGAGAGAAAAAGCUCGCAACGUGGUACAAUGAUCAAACUCGUACCUUAAAGCAGUUAGUACGAAAUUUAGAGCGUAAAUAUCGAUCAACUAAACUGGAAGUGUUUCACUCUGUGCGGAAAGACAGUCUUGUUAAAUAUAGAACUAAUAUAGAACUAAAUAAAGCACGCUCAGCGUAUCUGGCCUCACAGAUCGAGAUAAAUAAAAAUAAUCCUAGAGUUCUCUUUAGUGUUAUUUCCAAAUUAACUAAAAACCAGGCAGGUACUGAGCCUCAGAUUCCAGCCAUUCACACCAGCAACGAUUUUAUGGACUUCUUCAAUAGUAAAAUUGAAAACAUUCGGGAUAAAAUUAAACAGAUAAAUAUUACAUCCUCUCUGUCAUCUGAUGUGGCUGAUCUAGAACAAAACCCUGUUACUGAAGUUAGGUUGGAAGUCUUUAACCCACUUCCACAGCUAGAACUAGAGAAAAUGAUCUCCUCUUCAAACAGCACAACCUGCACACUUGAUGCUGUUCCCACAAAAUUACUAAAACAGGUACUGCCAGAUAUAAUUAAACCUCUGUUAAUGAUAGUAAACUCAUCGCUCACCCUGGGCCAUGUACCCAAAGCCUUUAAAACAGCUGUAAUUAAACCUCUGAUCAAGAAACCAAAUCUUGAUCCUAGUGUACUGUCUAACUAUAGACCUAUUUUAAACUACAGUUUAUUUCUAAGAUUUUAGAAAAAGCUGUAGCCCAACAACUUUGCUCUUACCUGCAAAGAAACCAGAUCUAUGAAAAAUUUCAAUCUGGAUUUAAGCCUUAUCAUAGCACUGAGACAGCUUUAGUUAGAAUAACAAACGAUCUACUUAUAGCCGCCGAUCAAGGCUGUGUUUCCCUACUCGUACUUCUCGAUCUGAGCGCAGCCUUUGAUACAAUAGAUCAUACUAUCCUUUUAGAAAGACUAGAGAACAUGGUCGGUGUAACCGGAACUGCCUUAGCAUGGUUUAAAUCGUACUUAUCCGAUCGCUAUCAGUUUGUGAGGUUAAAUGAUAUGUCUUCCAGUUAUACCAAGGUAAGAUAUGGAAUUCCACAAGGCUCUAUAUUAGGACAGUUAUUAUUUACAUUAUAUAUGCUCCCACUGGGCAAAUUUAUUAGAAAACAUGAUGUGAAUUUUCAUUGUUAUGCGGAUGACACGCAGCUCUUCAUAUCAGCCAAACCUGAUGACAGAGUGAGAUUAAAGAAAAUCGAGGAUUGUGUAGAAGAUGUAAAAUCAUGGAUGUCGCACAACUUCCUUAUAUUAAAUAGUGAUAAAACAGAAGUUCUCCUAUUAGGCCCCAAAGCUGCUAGAAAUAAAUUAUCAGACUUAAUGCUAAAUCUGGCUGACUUCUCAGCCACCCCUGGUUCAGCAGCUAAAAACCUUGGAGUUAUCAUAGAUUCAGAUCUAGCAUUCGAUAAACACAUAUCUAAUGUUACUAGAACAGCUUUUCUACACCUCCGUAAUAUUGCCAAACUAAGAAAUGCCCUAUCACUGCAUGACGCAGAAAAAAUAGUACAUGCCUUUAUUACCUCAAGGCUAGAUUAUUGUAAUGCGCUACUGUCUGGAUGUUCCGGCAGUAACUUAAAUAAACUUCAGCUAGUUCAAAAUGCUGCAGCCAGGGUCCUUACUAAAACUAGAAAAUUUGACCAUAUUAGUCCAGUACUAUCAGCACUGCACUGGCUUCCAGUCAAAUUCCGCAUAGACUAUAAAAUUCUCCUGUUAACGUAUAAAGCCCUACACGGGCUCGCUCCUGAGUAUUUACAAGACCUCAUCUCCUGUUAUGAACCACCGCGAUUACUUAGAUCUCAGGGUGCUGGUUUAUUAGUAGUUCCUAAAAUUCAGAGGAGCUCUGCAGGAGGAAGAGCUUUCUCUUAUAAAGCGCCUCAACUCUGGAAUAAUCUCCCCGAAUAUGUUCGGGACUCAGACACAAUCUUUAAGUCUAGACUGAAAACUUACUUGUUUAGUUUAGCUUUUGGUAAUUAAUGUUUUUCCCUUUAGAUAAGGCCCCUUUAUGUUUUUCCCUUUAGAUAAAGCUGCAGAUUCAGGGGUUCAUGGACAGAGGAAAUUGUGGUAAACUGAGAUGCUGGGGCUGCUGUUCUCCCACUGCACACGGUCACUCAGGUUUGUGGACGGUGGAGUGGGUGGAUGCCGAUGUUUCAGGGAGCCUCCAUGUCUAUGUUACCUUCUGGCUCUCUCCCUUUAGUUAGGCUGUUUUAUUUAGAUCUGCCGGAGUCAUUUGCCACACUCUGAUAAUGUUUUAAAUUCUCUGUUUUACAUAAAUCCAGUCAAAACUAAUUCCAUCUCUCUGCCUUCCUCCGAGUUACUGACUGCCCACCUGUCUGACCCGAUACCGAGGGAUGUUGGACCCUCAGGCUCUCAUGUCCUCUGUCUGGCCAGACUGGAAGUUUCUGAAGUCAGCUCUUCUCCAUCCACCACCACAGAUCAGCUGCUCAUCAUCCAUCUUACUCUAUAAGCCAUUAGUGGAGCUGCUAUACACCUGAAUAUAUAAAACCUAUGUGGAUGUAUGAAAGACUUUUUAAAAUUAAUUUAAAAGCCAUUUGACCAGUGGUAGGAUGGUCCCCCCUUUAAUGAUGACAAAUACUGGGCGCGGCGCAGAAAGAACAACGUGGCGGCGAAACGUUCACGAGACGCUCGGCGGUUGAAAGAGAACCAGAUCGCCAUCCGAGCCGCUUUCCUGGAGAAGGAGAAUGCCGCCCUCAGACAGGAGGUAGCCGACCUGCGCAAGGAACUGGGCCGCUGCAAGAACAUUCUGGGCAAAUACGAGGCACGGCACGGAGCUCUGUGAAACCAUCCCAUCAGCCUCCUGACCCACCCCCUUCCCAACAAAGAAUUGUCUCACUAAAUCCCUGAAAAACCCAAAACCUCUUCCAAGGACUCUAGUGUGCCUGGUUUGAGGCACCGGCCCUCCAUCUUUCUCUCUCUUGUAUAGAUGUUUUAAUUCUGUUAUAAUUCUUACUGUAGCUCUGUUUUCUUUUUUCGCUUGUUCCCACUGUGUGGCGGGACUGGUGGACGAAUUUCUCUUGUUCCUCUUUAUCAUAAGAUAUUUUUUUUCUGUUGCAUUCCCACUCUGCUGAUGCUGUAAGUUUGCUUUCUCCAGUAUUAUGUUUUUCUUUUAAUUACAAUCCUUAGUGCUGCCCUCUCUUUCUCUUUUGUCACUUUGUGUCUCUCUACCUCUCCCUGCAAGAGUAAAAAUAAAGGUGCUUUAAAGAUUAUUUGUGGAAUACCAUAGAAGAACCAAUUUUUUGUUUCAUUUAAAACCAGCUUUAUUAAUAAAAGUAAAUAAAGAUCCUUUGCCAAUUAAAUUGUAAUUCGUUUAGAACAGGUUCUUUAUGGAACAAAAAUGAUUCCUCUCUGGCAUCACUCAACCACAAAACCUUUACAGCACCUUUAUUGUUUAGAUUGUGUCACUUGUGUCACAAUUGUGGCAGCAUUUUAUUGCUUUACAUUGUUUUUGUUGUGGUUGUUGUCCUAUCGCUCUUUCUUUCUCUCAUGCAGUAAAAUGUAAAUAACACAAGCCCCUUCUCUUCUCACAGUUUAAUUAUUUUUCAUUGGCUGGCUGACUGGUUUCCCUCACCCCACUCUUUGGGUUCUAACGCACACCAGCAUUUUUUGUUCUUUAUUUUCACACAUUGUCUAAUCAUCAAGCAAUAACCCUAAAGCAUGCUUUUUUUUGGAGAAGGUAAAAAAGUGGUUGCUCCAUCUCAAUACUUGUUUUUGAAAUGUGUGUAUGAGUGAGGGGGUGGGGGGUUGGGGGGUAUUGGAACUGGGAGGAACUGCUUUUGUUCUUUUGGAGAAGGAAGCUCCACCCACACACACAUACAAACACAGUUGGAAUUGUAUUUUUGCUAAACUGUAAACAUAGUGACAUCAUACUUUAUCUCUUUAUCUCUCUGCUAACCUGCACUAAAGCGUUUCACAAUCUGAUCUGGUGCAAUGUCUAUUUACUUUCAUUUCUAGAAUCUGCCUAAUAUAUUAUAUAAACAUUGUUUUGUUGUUUUAAAAGUGAAAAAAAAAUAUUUUGGAAAUAUUCAGCUAUUAAUUAGUAUUAUUCUUAAUAGAGCUGUUGAUAUUGUUGUCUGUAAUGAUCCUUUGUUUUUGUCCCUUUCCCUUUUUCGAUGGAUUUCACUGCAUGAACUUUUAAAACAGCAACCUCAAGCUGUCUGUAAAUGUUUAUGCCCCUUGUUUCUUUUUAAGUUAAACGUUUUCUUCUUUUUUCUGAUAUUUUUUGAGUUUUAGGGGUUGGGGGGUUAAUAUUUUCUUUUUUCUUUUUUGUAAAAUCACAUACAGAUCUGUGUAGUCAGUUUGUAGCUGUAUCUUUGGCCCUCUCUCUCACACAAACAAGGCUGAAUGUAAUGAAUGUACAAGUUUUGUUCUGUUUUGUUUUUAUGUUAAAAAGGCGCCAGUAGGAUGGUGUUGUCUAUAAUACUCUGGUAAAUUGAUUUGUUUACUACAGACCAAAACAAGCAGUGCACGCACACACACAUACAUGCACACAUAUACAUGACAAAAAAAAUUACCGGUUAAACAUAAAAAAUGUUUAUAUAAAACUACUCUAGAUUCUCAAUGUUCUUUUUAUACAGUAUUUUUCUUAUACUGGCUAGGUUUUUUUCAUGGCACAAAAGACUAUUAUAAUAAAGAAUACAUACAUAUAUGUAGCUUAGAAUAAAUUAGGAGACCACUUCAAAAUGAUCAGGUUCUCUAUUUUUACUAUUUAUAGGUAUACGUUUGCAUAAAACAAACUUUGUUGGAUAUAAACUAUAAACUACUGACAAAAUUUCCUCUAAGUCUCCGCCUACCUAUUAGACGACCAGGUGUUGUUUGUGCAAACCUAAAAAUUGGACUCUUCAGAGACUUCAGUCCUCUACGGUCAAAUUCUUAUUGCCUUUUACAAACUUCAGCCGGGCUCUUGUUUGCCUCUCAUUAAUGAUUAGGAUCUUACAUGACUUUCCUGCAGACACAUAACAGUAUUAGACUUUAUCCUGAUGUAAUUUUUUUUAUGAUGUAAUGACCAACAUUCAAUCUGAAAUUAGGGUCUAUUGACGUUGGUGGCCAACUGACUCUUGCCCCUAGGAAUCAACUUUUCGUUCCAAACAGCUGAUAUUUGUCUUUUUUUUAGGUCACUUGAGAAUGUCAGGAUGCAUGAAAGCUUGAUUAAAAACCAGGGAUAUUCCACCAAAUAUUGAUUUCUUAAAACAUUAGUUUUGUUGUUUCUAAAUUAAAUGAGCUUGUUUUCUUUGCAUUAGUUAAGGUCUGAAAGCACAGCACCUUUUAUUAUUUUGACUAUUUCUAAUUUUCUGCAAAAAAUGCUCUAAAUUACAAUAUUUUUAUUUGGAAUUUGGAAAAAGCACUGUUCAUUUUACUGAAACAUAUACCUAUAAACACUAAAAUCAGAAAAAACUUUAAGGUGGUCUCUUCAUUUUUUCUGGUGCUCUAUGUUUAGAUAUAAAUCAUAAGUCUAUACAUGAUCUAUAUAUUUGAUCUAUAUAUUACUUGAAGUAAGAGUUUUGCUAUCUUAUAAUAUGUACAGUAUGCUGAAAUUCAAAUGAUUCAGGGGUUGUAUUAAUCCUUCUCAGAGAGUGAGUGCCAGACAGAAAUGUGGUCUUUUUGUGAAUAUGGUUGGUAGUAAAGCUCCAAGACCAGGGCCCACAUGUACAAAGUUUUUACAGUACAUUUAAUUUAUCUUGCAGUCUAAACCUGGAUCAGCAGAAUCAGCACUCUAUAGCCUGGUUUAGUUCUUUAAAAUAAAGGUGCCCAAAAGCCAAAUAGUUAAUGUAGUAGAAGAACCAGAGCAUUGUUGCUGCAAGGCUUUUUCUCUACAGCGGGACGGUUUAACUCCAAUAAUUCAGGUAUCCCCCAACAAUAAUGCUUCUGAAGAGAUCUUGGUAAAGAUUUGGGUCAAUUUUAUUGAGAAGAUGAGAAGGGCUCAUCAAAAGUGCUCAAUGAGUCUUUUUAGAUUUGACAUCGCUCCAAUUGACCCACUUUCGAUGUACUAAAAAAACCUUCAACUGAUCAGUGUCUGGGGAAUUGUCAAAUGAAAGGUUCUUUAGGGAAGCAAAAGUGGUUCUUCUGUGGCAAUGCUCCAAAGAACCCUUGUGGCACCUUUACUUUUAAGGUUGAUCCUGGACAAGCUUAGAUAUUUUCUGAAAUGUAUUUUCAGUAAUGAGUUAUGUUUGUCAGAAUAUGCAGUGGUGGCCUGGUUCUGUGAUGUUGUUUGGGCAUUAAAGACUUACACUCCUCAUUCUCUUCAUACAAAAAUUAGUUGUUGGUUCUCCUUGUUUGUAGAACUGCAGUGUACAAGAUUUCCAUCCACCCAACCAUCUCUCUCUCUGUUUCAUAGCUAGACAGCUUCCUCCUGCCUUCCUGAUUGAUUUCUGAUGAAGAUCUUUAGCUUUGGCUGCUGUGUUUCGUUGGUUAAGAAAGUAAAAGGAAUAAUUUCUGGAUCUUCUGCAGGUCUUUGGGGUCUUUGGGGUCUCUGGUAUUGUGAGUGGAGUCAUUUUUGUUGUAGCUGGAUAGUUUCUAUAGGGAAGUUUCAGCUAUACUCUAAUCCCAGCCUACCUGAUCCAACUUCUUAGAUGAGUACUGAACAAGGUGUAUUUUUGUGUUACCAGUGUGCAGGGUAGUCUAAAGAGCCCCUCGUGGCACUCUUGAGUGCUUUAAACUUUUAAAGAAGCAAAGGUAGAUCCUUUUAGUGUAGUGUCAGUUGAGAGAUUCACAUGUAAGGGUUCUUCAAGGCUGCAGCAGAGAGAACCAGUUUUUAAUAAAUCUCAACUGAUAAAACUGAAGGAUAUUAAAAAACAAAUGGUCUAAAAUAUUUCUAAGUCUGAUCUGGAGCCAAUAGGACUUUUUUAUAUGUUUGAUUUUUGUCAAACCUUUUUCAUUAAUGUGAACUAGUGACCUGGUCAAAUUUGCACUAUAGUGAUUUCACUCUAAUUAAGAAUACUGUCCCCUCCCUCUCCCCAUCCUUGCUGCCCUGAGAUUAGUGUCAGGGGUGAUGGUGGGGUUCAGGGAUUGCAUUUAAGCAUGACUCCUGUAUACCUAACAGAUUCAAGAUGGUGUACCUGUCUUAGUUCGGGCCAAAGUUAAGCUGUGCACAACCUUAGUUUGCUAAGGUUUUAUUUAGUUUUUCUUUCCCCAUUUUUUUUUCUUUCCUACUGUCGUUAAUAAUUUUCUGUUUUGUUUUGGUCUGUGUGUGAGAUGAUUGAGGUAUAUAUAUUGUGUGUGUGUGUGUGUGUGUGUGUGUGUGUGUUUAUGUGUGUGAGGCCCUAGCUAUGCGCCAGUUAUCUUUGUAAAGUGACAAUAAAUCCUGGAAUAAGCCAAUACAAGCGCUUUUCUUUACCCCAUUUAGCUGACUUUUUCGAGUUGGUAGAAAUCUAAAAAUCUCUAAAAGGUGAUUUACAUUUCUUUUGAUGAUGGGAGAUUUAAUGUAGUCUUUAGGGGGCUCAUCUUCAUCCUGUAAACUAUGUAAUUUGUCAUAAUGCCGACCUGUAGAUCUAGCUUGGUUAGGGAGAUUGAACGAUGAAUGUAUUAGACAAUAUUAAUCGUUUCUGUAUCUGGGGCUUAAGGUUGUAGAAGUAAGGCAGGUUUUAGAGGCAGUUUCAACAAUUUGAGUUUAAGGAUGUCGGCAUGACCAGGACUUGUCAGACUGGUUUAAUUCUAGCAAUUCUUUUCCUCGUUAAAAUACCUGAAGUUACAAAAAGUUGUUUUACUGGGACACAUCCUUAGCUUAUUAAAAAUGUUUCCAUUAGCAUUGAUGCUGUCUCAGGGUAGGAACACUGGUAGGAUUUUACCCCCCGGCCCUCCCGCCUUCUCAUCACCAGCCCAAAACCUUACUACCUCAUUCACAAACAUAAGCAACAUCGAUAAUUAGGAGUCUAUUGCAGUGCCUUGAACUACACAGUCACUUGUUCCCUUUCUCGCUUUUUCAUUCUUUAUAAUGACUCUUCAUCACACACUGCAUAGACCUGUAAAGUAAGGGCUCCCUGUUUUCCAUUCAGGUAUCCUCUCACUGUGGACCAUUCCCAAAUCAUGCUAAAACCCUUUCCUUCCAGACUUCAGACAACUUGAUGUAUCGAGGGACCUGAUGACCUGCUAGUGGUCUUGUAAGUCUGGGAGAAGGGUUUGGAUGAAGGGUCCAGGUAUUGGUGGAGGAAUUGUAUCACACUAAUAAUAUAAUUCUGUUAUUUUUUAAUCUGAUCAUUGCAGUAGGCUGUUACCGCUGUAUUGAUGGCAACACCAAAAGACUGUUUCAAAGAGAGAAUGUGGUAAUAAUCUGAAGGUGUUAUAAUCUUGUUGUCUUUAUGCUCCUGUGUGCUUGACUUUCUCCUCUUGUCUCACUGUAAUUUCAGUGUCUAAUAAAGUCCUCUUGGUUCCUCUC
RNA transcript from Astyanax mexicanus (Mexican tetra), 18496 nucleotides. It is a transcript of the gene named HLF transcription factor, PAR bZIP family member a, with no coding region annotated. The record is from RefSeq and is a predicted model, not a curated record. NCBI's taxonomy places the organism in Eukaryota, Metazoa, Chordata, Actinopteri, Characiformes, Acestrorhamphidae. The transcript has 4 exons.